GAUGAAGAACGUAGCGAAAUGCGAUAAGUAAUGUGAAUAGCAGAAUUCAGUGAAUCAUCGAAUCUUUGAACGCACAUUGCGCCCGCCAGUAUUCUGGCGGGCAUGCCUGUUCGAGCGUCAUUUCAACCAUCAAGCCCCCGGCUUGUGUUGGGGACCUGCGGCUGCCGCAGGCCCUGAAAUGCAGUGGCGGGCUCGCUGUCACUCCGAGCGUAGUAGUUACAUCUCGCUCUGGGCGUGCUGCGGGUUCCGGCCGUUAAAAGCCUUAUUUACCCAAGGUUGACCUCGGAUCAGGUAGGAAGACCCGCUGAACUUAAGCAUAUCAAUAAGCGGAGGA
This 334-nucleotide unclassified non-coding RNA is filed under the name soil metagenome. RNAcentral's name for it is "partial contains 5.8S ribosomal RNA, internal transcribed spacer 2, and large subunit ribosomal RNA". The stretch from base 1 to 120 matches the Rfam family "5.8S ribosomal RNA", at positions 35 to 154 of the family's 154-position model. The record is from RNAcentral.